Long non-coding RNA from Oreochromis aureus, 4997 nucleotides. Lineage: Eukaryota; Metazoa; Chordata; Actinopteri; Cichliformes; Cichlidae. The record is from Ensembl.
AGAGAACGGACAUUGGCGAGGAAAAUACUGGGUAAAGGCAGCCGAUGUGGUGUUAGCUUUAGCUUAGCCUGUAGCCCUCCGCGCCUACCUCGCCUUUGUUUACGUUCUCGGCGCCGUCUGCGUGCACUUCCGCCCGGCCGGGGAGAGUGGGCAGCCUCCGGUGUUCUGGAGAUCUCUGGGAUGAGUCGGAGAUCGGCGAUAAAACUGUUGGAGUUAUGAGUCCAGAUGUCCAGAAUCUCUUGUCUGCUGUAGGUCAGCAACGCACAGCAAUUCUGGAUGAAUAAUCCGGUUAAAAGUAGAUAAAAAACCGCUAAAUAGCAGAUUCUGGAGAGACACUGAGCCUCGCGUUGUUCACGCGCCGCCAUCUUGGUCGUAAAAGCAAAGCAUGUCUCGUCCCAGCAGUAGUAGUAUGUUGGCGUUUGGGUCUAAUGGCGGGAUCAAGUUAGCAAUCUUUCGUAGAUGGGCGUGGUGAUAGGCAGUUUCCAGAGUUGGUAUCUCAGAGCGGUUAUCUGGAAUGUUGUUACAUUCGAGGAGUGUUGGAAGAGGAAGACUUGCCUUUCCAUUCACUGACUCUACUAUAAAGCCAGAAGCACUUCUUCCUGAUACUCCUGUGAGUCCGGCACACGUCUUUAACAUGUAGGGGUGACUCUCUCCUUGGAUCUGAAAAACAUCAAAGAACUGGGAACGUGUCAACGAUCAAUUGCUCUGAUCGUCCAAGAUUGCAUACAUUUUCUUUGUUUGCUAUCUGUGUCCAGUGGGAUACAAAUUCACUAGUGUGAUUUUUUAACAUUCUCUGGCACUCACUCCUUCUCCACACACCUCAGUAGACCAAGACGUGACUUCUUGGGUGUCUGCUUUGUCACUUUCCCUGCCUUGCUGUGAAGGCGGGGACAAUUUAGACUCCAUGUCCAUGCACACAUUUUGUAAACAUAUACAACUAAUUAUCUAAAAAUGCAGCCAAUGCACCUGCGUUUUUUGGGGGUGGGGGUUUGUACAACCACUUAAAAAUAUUACUAAAACUAAAAUGAGAGAACAAUCAGGUGUCGCAAUAAGAUGCCCCACAAAUGAUGUGUGCCAGUAAAAAAUAUUGUUGGUCCACCAAAAGACAGAGGAGAACAGCACAGGGAUAAACCUGCAGGCCUGACAACAGCAGGUGUAUCACUCCGCUGGGUUUCUACUUGGUGACAGUGUUUACAAUGCAAUGUGCCUUUGUGACAUCAUUAGUGCCCUCACACAAAACAAAACAACAACUACACAACACACUAACUACACACUCCUAAAUGUCGCAAAUCUCCCACAUCUAAAAACUCUCUCUCUCGCUCUUUCUGUCUGGCUGCCGCUGCUGUCACUCCCAAAACUGUCCCCUCUUCCUAAACAACCAAAUCCCAUGUGUUGACUUUUUUUAAAAAAAAUUGGUCGACAUGGUACAUUUUUCCACCAAUAGGAAAGAGGUGACUUUUUUCCCCUUUACUGUUUUCGCGCUGUCCUUAGAAAACGCUUUUUUUUUAAACACACACAAACACACACAAAGAAAAUGUGACGACAGUAUUUAGAAAAAAGCAUGGCUUAUAUAUGUUUUUUUAUCAUAACUGUGGAUUUACUGGCCUGUAAUGAAACUUUAAAAACUGGUGUAUACUUUGAAGUCCAAACUUUCAACACGGGCUGAAAGACUCAAUGUGGCUGCAGCUUGUUACUGUGUCAACUUAAAUCAGUCAUGUGAUUUGGAGGUGCAGCGUGUCCGUGGACCCCAGAGGGUUAAUAACACUCACCUUCCUUCCAGUUCAACCAACCACCUGUGUGAAAUCUGAAAUUCCCAUGGUGUUGUUCAAAAUGUGCUCUGGCACAAUCAUAAGCAUUGCUUACUACUGACAACAAGAAAAAAGUGCUAUGGGCUGAACCAUUUGAUAAUGGUGGAGGGGGGGAACACUAUGCAAUAUAUUCAGUUUUAGCAUUUAUAUUCACUGUUAACUGUAACUACGCUCAAAGUGUUAAUGCUAUCUUAUUUUAAUAAACAACACUGUCAUAUGCAAAACUAGGGUGGCACUUGGGGUGGCAAGGGAUCAUUUUAGGGUAACACUUGCGACCCCAUGCCACCCGUCUAGAGCCGCCCCUGCAGUUGACAAUAUUCCUUCACGCAUUGAAUCAAAUAAACUUUAACCCAGCCACAUUAGCUUCUUUGAAAUUGAGACUAUGGUUAACCCCUCAUUGGCCUGCUUGAGACAUCCUCUUAAUAUAAGGAUUAAGAUGUUUGUCAUGUUUUUCACAGUUAAAACUAGUGUGUCCUCCUCCUAGCUGGGUUGAAGCGAUCUUCAACUUCAGCUUGUCAAUCAAUCAAAGACCCAGACAGAAGUUUCAUUCAUUUGAAAGCCUGAUUCUUAGCCUUGACCACCCUAGUAGGAAAAUUUAAAAAACAGUUUUAUUUGUAAUUAUCUAUCGUCCACCUGGGCCUUACACAGAGUUUCUGUCUGAUUUCUCAGAUUUUUUAUCUGAUUUAGUGCUCAGCUCAGAUAAAAUAAUUAUUGUGAGUGAUUUUAACAUCCAUGUAGAUGCUAAAAAUCUACAUGGAUGGACAGCAUUUAAUCUGUUAUUAAGCGUGUACAAAGUAAUGACAUUGAUAUCCCUGCCAACUGGAUCAAAGAGGAAACAGCAGGUCAGGUUGAGUGAGCAUUUAUUAAGACAAAGUAAUCUGGAACAUGAAUAAUUAUUCAUGGCCCCUGAUCGUGGCUCAAGAGUUGGGAGUUCGCCUUGUAAUCGGAAGGUUGCCAGUUCGAGCCCCGGCUCGGACAGUCUCGGUCAUUGUGUCCUUGGGCAAGGCACUUCACCUACCGCCUACUGGUGUUGGCCACAAGGGCCGAUGGUGCGAUAUGGCAGCCUCGCUUCUGUCAGCCUGCCCCAGGGCAGCUGUGGCUACAACUGUAGCUUGCCUCCACCAGUGUGUGUGGAUGGGUGGAUGACUGGAUGUGUAAAGCGCUUUGGGGUCCCUAGGCGGGACUAGUAAAGCGCUAUACAAAUACAGGCCAUUUACCAUCUGUUAUUAAAAUGCAGAUAGUUUACAGAGAAGCAAAACUGGGUACUUAUUUAGAGCUUCAGCUUAUGUAAAUAUGAAUGUCAUUGUGAACUUUUGAACUAUGUUGGAUUGGUUAAGAAGGUUGGUGGGGCCGACAUCAGUGCUAAGUUUCUAAGGUGAUGUGGUUCGGCCCUCGUGAUAGUUUAGUUCAGUAAUUCUGCGUCAGUUAGAUUUGUCUCUAGCACAUUUUCACAUGAACAUUUCUUGUAUCACAAUCUUCUUUCAAUUCAAAUACAGAGGAAUACUUUCAUUUACUUUUUUAAACUCUGUGUUUGCCAAUAAUCAUUCAUUUUAUGUAUGUUAUGCUGCUUAAAUCAUACAUUUUGUAAAUCAGACAUUCUCUGAAAUUAGUGUCUCCAGUGUGUUGCUGUCACCCCCGUACUGCACCCACACACGCUAAGGUCAGACUCUGUACCAAGGUUAUUAUCGUUAACGAAAACUAACAAAAUAACGAAAACUAGAAGUGAAAAAACAUUUUCGUUAACGGAAAUAAAAAUAAAAACAAGACUUUGCAAAAAAAGGAAAACUAACUAAAACUGUAAUGAGUGUUCACAAAACUAACUAAAAUUAACUGAAUUUAUAGCAAAAAUGUGUUUUGAAAGUGUGUGUCAUACAAUAGCCUCGGGUGAAAAUGAAGUGUUUUUCUUGCUGUGUCUCAUUAUGCCAGCAGGUGGUAAGUACGUUAGUCGAGUCGUCUGUGUUGCCGCUCCGUCCCACGCAGAAUCACAUCAGCAAAAGUCUGGAGAAAUCGCCAGAGUCUAAUUUUGGAUUACUUUGAAUAUGAUUGUGUUUUAGAUAAAGCAAGUGUCUUGUAGUGGAAAGAGACAAAUUAUGCGGGACAUUUCUACAGGGAAAACAAUCCCACAAACCUUAAAGUGCACUUGAAAAGCUCACACAAGAAGGCUAACCUAGCUUACCUUGAGAAGGUAAGGGAGCAUGCCCAACCCUCAUUCCCAGAAACAGAAGCUAACCCCAGGCAAGGCAGCGUGAUGCAUCCCAACACAAGUCCACAAAAAACAUUAAUGCAGUGCUUCCAACAGCGACCCGAUGGCUGCUGGUUGGUCUAUUUGCAGGAACAUCACAAGCGAGAGGAAGCGUUGGUGAAUAUGUUUAUUGAGACUGGGAUAUCUACACAACUGUCUGAUUGGUCAAUGUCAUGUCAAUCACAAAUUACACAAUCCAAUCAGUUUGGCUGUCGGGGGGGGGGGUGCUUUACGGACCUUCAGGUCCUGGAAGGGUAACACAGUUUGAAGAUGGAGGACAGCGGUGGCGCUUCUGCGGCGCAGGUAAGCUUUAAUUUAUGGUUUACUGGAACAAGCUAAUUGUCCAGACAUAUAUUUUUGAAUAUCAUAUUCGGUUACUACACUGUAAUUUUUCACGGUGCCAAAACCUAGCUUAAAAAGGGCUCUCAACAUUAGCCCUAGUGUUAAGAUAAGAUAAGAUGACCUUUAUUAGUCUGUAACAAAACAAAUUUCCCACCUGUGGGACUAAUAAAGGUCAUCUUAUCUUAUCUUAUCUUAUCUUAGUGUUGCAUGUGUUCAAAUAGUCUCCUGUGUGGCACGGUCUGUCUGCUUAAACAUCAGCAUCGUGGAGAAUUAUGUGUUUGGAGUUUAAUCCCGAUGAGAUGUCGUUUUGGUAAUAAUUGGAACUGAAAUGCUCUGACUUGACCUUAGCACUGGUCCCAGGUCACCCCUGAGUUUGUGUUAGAGUAAUACUACAGUAAUUACAGCAUACAACAACUUUCAGCAGCUACUGAAAGUUAGGGGACCUAGCUUAACUUUCAGUAGCUGCUAACGCGUUAACGAGCAAACCGCGCUAACGUGUUACGCUGCGCUAACUUAUGGCAAGCCAUUAGUGCCAAAAUUCGCCACUUUUCUAACCCGUUUGGUUAAGAAAUGGCGUAAAAAACGCCGUUUAAUUAUUCAAAACG